RNAcentral lists this transfer RNA (60 nucleotides) under Sus scrofa (pig). Lineage: Eukaryota; Metazoa; Chordata; Mammalia; Artiodactyla; Suidae. The record is from Rfam by way of RNAcentral.
GGCAGAGGAGUACACUGAGCUUUGUAGUCAGAUACCUGGGUUCUCACCCCAGCUCUGCCA